RNAcentral lists this transfer RNA (77 nucleotides) under Hyphomicrobiales bacterium. RNAcentral's name for it is "Rhizobiales bacterium (sediment metagenome) tRNA-Arg". It matches the Rfam family "tRNA". Rfam says of the family: Transfer RNA (tRNA) molecules are approximately 80 nucleotides in length. Their secondary structure includes four short double-helical elements and three loops (D, anti-codon, and T loops). The record is from RNAcentral. Lineage: Bacteria; Pseudomonadati; Pseudomonadota; Alphaproteobacteria; Hyphomicrobiales.
GCACACGUAGCUCAACUGGAUAAAGCCCCCGGUUGCGAGCUGGGGAGGUGCAGGUUCGAGUCCUGCCGUGUGCACCA